Molecule: non-coding RNA, 3211 nt
Organism: Pelodiscus sinensis (Chinese soft-shelled turtle)
Lineage: Eukaryota; Metazoa; Chordata; Testudines; Trionychidae
Source: RefSeq, a predicted model, not a curated record
GAAGGAAGGAGAAGGAAAAAGCUAUUAGAACUCUUCCCAGGAGGUCAUAUGUGCCAGACACAGCAUGUGCUGGACACAGCAGGAAGCAGUCUCCCCCUUUCCUUCUGCAGACUCCUGCCUUAGCUGGCCCUUUUCCAUGCCUGCCUGCCUCCAGACCGAGUGCUCCCCAAAGCUCCCCUGAAAACUCUGCACUUGCUGUAAAGUGUCUGCUUUAAAGAAAACAUUUGGCCUUGCACGGAACACAUCUCCAUUGUAUUAAUGGAGACCUUCAGUGUAGGCUAAGAUUAGGGGUAGGCUUAACACAAUGCAUCUCCUGUAAUGUCUGCCCCUGGGACUGCAGCUAGCUCAGUGCAUGUUUUCCCUCUUCCAGCAUCUGUCUACUUGGCUCACAUCCACAGGAAAAAGCAGAUUAAGACAUGUUCCGGGAGUAGAUGGACUGCAUGAACUCCCUCGUGGAGGAGAUGCUGGCAGAACACAUGGAAUACCAGGAGAGAAGAGCUGCCAGGGAGCAACAGGUAAGACCAUGUUUGCUUCUCUGGGCACUUUUAUGGAAUGGCUGGCUUCAUGCCUGAAGAGGGCCCCCUCCCAGAAUCCCAUCUGCCCCAACAACAACCUCGGCCCCACCUCCCCCAACCUCGUGGCUUCCACUCCCAGGAUUCCUGAGGCCGCCAGGGCCCCAGGACACAGGAGGUGGGGACUCCAGGGCAGCUGUUCCCUCCAGGACUUUGGGAGGCAGAAGGCAGUCCCACUCACAUUCCUAAGCCCCCCUCCUCCCUUUGGGUUCCUAUUUCUUUCUUUUCCCUGCUGUUUUUCCCAAAUAAAAACUCCUGUUCUUUGAAAACGGUCUCUCUACUGCUUCAACUGCAGGAUUGGGGUAGGGGAUUAAAGGCAAACACGGGGAAUGCGAGUAUCAGAGGGGUAGCUGUGUUUGUCUGAAUCUGACAAAGUGGGUCUUUGCCCACAAAAGCUUAUGCUCCAAUAAGUCUAUAAGGAGUUACAUGACUCUGUCGCUUUUACAAGGAGUGCAGGAGCAACUUGUGGAAAGCCAUGUGGAAGAGUCUCAAAAUUGGCCAUGCUGCUACUUCCUCUGUGGUUUUCUUACUGAACUAGCUAGAUUAAAGCUACCAUGGAUUAGUAUACCUGGUCUGAAAAUUAUACCCUGAUUGCAGUGUAAACUAUAGUACAAUGCUUCAUUUUAAAGGUUUCCCUCCAAACUAAGUAGGCUAAAAGCCUUUGAUCUUUAAAUGAAAAGUUUAAUUUUGGAGAAAUUGGUAAAUAAGCUCCCUUAUAUCUAGCUCUUAUAUACCAGUUUUCAACAAUAGAUCACUAGAGCCCUGUAUGGAUAGGAAAUUAGAGCUGUAGAUAUCCAAAUCCACAUCUGUCGAUGCACAUAUCCACAGAUAAAGUGAAUACUCUUGGAUUUGCAGGGCUCUAUCAAUCAUGAAUUUUUUUUUUAAGAAGGUCAGUACCAUUACCCACAUUUUACAGAGAGGGGAUGUGAGUUGCCCAAGGUCACCCAGCAGCCCAAUGACAGAGCCAAGAACAGAAUCCAAGUCCCUCUCAAAUGCUCUAUCAACCAGGCCAUGCUUGCUGCUAGACAGGGAAAAAUUAAUGUUCACUGUUAAUAGGCAGGUGGCUUUAUCAAGCCUUACUACUUAAUUAAAAAUAUAGUUACUAAAACACUUUAAACAAAAGAGAAAAUAGUAUUAUACAACUCUAAACAGUACAAAAAAAUAAAACCAAAAUCAACAGAGUAACAUACACAUGAGAGUCACAAAAUUCAAUGUUUAAGUAUCUAUUCCUUAAACGCAUGGGAUAAGUUGUGUUCUAUUACUUGGGAUAAAGUUGCAUAUUAAGGUAACAUCUCAAUAUUGAUAUACAAAUUUAAAUCCUGAAAAAUAGAUUCAUGGUCGACAAACACCAUUUUGAAUAAAAAAGAACCACACUAUUCGAGAAAAUGUUAGUUACUGGUAAUGUCUCAGAAUUCUAACUCCCAAUGUCCUUGACAUACAAAAGGUCAAGACACACUGUGAUACUGAAAUAAGAACACAAAUAAUACAAUGCACAAAGUCAUUUGUGAUAGUAAAGAGAGGUACAGGUUGGACCUCGCAAAAUCAGGACUCUCUAGUCUGCCAGGACCACGGAUGUUUCUGGACCAGGGAGUCCAGACUGGGAGCCCCAGAGGCAAGAUGGCUGGUAGCUGCGAGCCCAGCAGGGCUACGGCUGGAGCUGUGACCAGGGCUGGAGCCCUGGUAGGGAAGCUGGGCCAUAACAGUCCCGGUAGCAGGGACAGGGUUGAGGCAGCUGCUGCAGCCCCAGUAAUGGGGAAAGGGAUGUGACAGCCAUGGCAGCCCAGCAGGAGGGACAACUGGGAUCGGCCACAGGGAGGAGCGGUGGGCUGGGAGGCCAGUAGCAGGAGACCAACACUGGUCCUGAGUGUUAGAAUAUGGAGGUGUAAACUAUUAGGAGAUUAUAAAUCACUGUGAUUAAUUUUACUGUAUAUUUUAGAAUUGUGCUUUUGUUUAUCUGUGAGUCCAUUUGUUCAAGAAUUCCUCAGUAAGAGCUAGGACUACCAAAGUUGACAUGAGGCUUCCACUUACAACUUAAAGCAAGGUCAGGGUUUGAUUUUCCCAGGAUAAUAAGAUUAGCAUGGAAUUUUGAUUGUUUCUCAUAAAAUGAAAAGGUCCAACAGGAAGCAAGGGGCCAGAGAUGGGGACGGGAACAGCUAUAACCCCAAAGGGCCAGCAGAAGGCAGGGGUGGAGAAAGGGACAGCAAUCUACUAUAUAUGUCAGAGAGUUUGUGCGUGUCUGCUUGUCUGUCCCCAGCCAGGGGACAUGCACCACUCCCCCAGAUUUGCUUACUACAGCUGCAGCAUCUAUGAACAAGCACUUCUCACCUGGCUCCAAGCUGCUGCAUGAAAGAGGGCUGGGACUGUCCUCUCUCCCCAGGGCAGCCUGCAUACAGAGCCCCUCAUCGCCUGUCCCACCCCAGAACAAUUAUUUAAAUAAACGAAAACAAGAGUUAUUUGAGUUGAGGACCCAAACAAUGCCAGGUAAAUCUUCUAGUAAAACAAAUGGAAACAAAUUAAAAUUAUAAGUGCCCCCACACAAUAAAGUGUUAAAGGAAAGAGUUCUGGAAUAAAUAGGCUUUGAUCUACACUGCAGAGAGAAAGACAGCCAAAGAACAAAUAUGUCCUCUCUGAAAACUUAA